UUCCCGCAUUUUACUGGUGGGCGACCUAGAGCUGAAAUGUAUUCCCGCAUUUUACUGGUGGGCGACCUAGAGCUGAAAAGUAUUCCCGCAUUUUACUGGUGGGCGACCUAGAGCUGAAAUGUAUUCCCGCAUUUUACUGGUGGGCGACCUAGAACUGAGAUGUAUUCCCGCAUUUUGCUGGUGGGCGACCUAGAGCUGAAAAGUAUUAAAAUUGUUUCCUCGUUCUUCCGAGAAAAUUUUUGACAAUCGGCAGAAAAUUUUCUGCCCCGGUUUUGGUGAUU
RNAcentral lists this long non-coding RNA (281 nucleotides) under Nicotiana tabacum (common tobacco). RNAcentral's name for it is "long non-coding RNA (NTAB_LNC017590)". Lineage: Eukaryota; Viridiplantae; Streptophyta; Magnoliopsida; Solanales; Solanaceae. The record is from RNAcentral.